This 1452-nucleotide ribosomal RNA is filed under the name Salmonella enterica subsp. enterica serovar Typhi. Its description in RNAcentral is "bacterial SSU rRNA". It matches the Rfam family "Bacterial small subunit ribosomal RNA". The record is from RNAcentral. Lineage: Bacteria; Pseudomonadati; Pseudomonadota; Gammaproteobacteria; Enterobacterales; Enterobacteriaceae.
AGAGUUUGAUCAUGGCUCAGAUUGAACGCUGGCGGCAGGCCUAACACAUGCAAGUCGAACGGUAACAGGAAGCAGCUUGCUGCUUUGCUGACGAGUGGCGGACGGGUGAGUAAUGUCUGGGAAACUGCCUGAUGGAGGGGGAUAACUACUGGAAACGGUGGCUAAUACCGCAUAACGUCGCAAGACCAAAGAGGGGGACCUUCGGGCCUCUUGCCAUCAGAUGUGCCCAGAUGGGAUUAGCUUGUUGGUGAGGUAACGGCUCACCAAGGCGACGAUCCCUAGCUGGUCUGAGAGGAUGACCAGCCACACUGGAACUGAGACACGGUCCAGACUCCUACGGGAGGCAGCAGUGGGGAAUAUUGCACAAUGGGCGCAAGCCUGAUGCAGCCAUGCCGCGUGUAUGAAGAAGGCCUUCGGGUUGUAAAGUACUUUCAGCGGGGAGGAAGGUGUUGUGGUUAAUAACCGCAGCAAUUGACGUUACCCGCAGAAGAAGCACCGGCUAACUCCGUGCCAGCAGCCGCGGUAAUACGGAGGGUGCAAGCGUUAAUCGGAAUUACUGGGCGUAAAGCGCACGCAGGCGGUCUGUCAAGUCGGAUGUGAAAUCCCCGGGCUCAACCUGGGAACUGCAUUCGAAACUGGCAGGCUUGAGUCUUGUAGAGGGGGGUAGAAUUCCAGGUGUAGCGGUGAAAUGCGUAGAGAUCUGGAGGAAUACCGGUGGCGAAGGCGGCCCCCUGGACAAAGACUGACGCUCAGGUGCGAAAGCGUGGGGAGCAAACAGGAUUAGAUACCCUGGUAGUCCACGCCGUAAACGAUGUCUACUUGGAGGUUGUGCCCUUGAGGCGUGGCUUCCGGAGCUAACGCGUUAAGUAGACCGCCUGGGGAGUACGGCCGCAAGGUUAAAACUCAAAUGAAUUGACGGGGGCCCGCACAAGCGGUGGAGCAUGUGGUUUAAUUCGAUGCAACGCGAAGAACCUUACCUGGUCUUGACAUCCACAGAACUUUCCAGAGAUGGAUUGGUGCCUUCGGGAACUGUGAGACAGGUGCUGCAUGGCUGUCGUCAGCUCGUGUUGUGAAAUGUUGGGUUAAGUCCCGCAACGAGCGCAACCCUUAUCCUUUGUUGCCAGCGGUCCGGCCGGGAACUCAAAGGAGACUGCCAGUGAUAAACUGGAGGAAGGUGGGGAUGACGUCAAGUCAUCAUGGCCCUUACGACCAGGGCUACACACGUGCUACAAUGGCGCAUACAAAGAGAAGCGACCUCGCGAGAGUAAGCGGACCUCAUAAAGUGCGUCGUAGUCCGGAUUGGAGUCUGCAACUCGACUCCAUGAAGUCGGAAUCGCUAGUAAUCGUGGAUCAGAAUGCCACGGUGAAUACGUUCCCGGGCCUUGUACACACCGCCCGUCACACCAUGGGAGUGGGUUGCAAAAGAAGUAGGUAGCUUAACCUUCGGGGGGG